RNAcentral lists this long non-coding RNA (2154 nucleotides) under Homo sapiens (human). RNAcentral's name for it is "HSALNT0386162". The record is from RNAcentral. Lineage: Eukaryota; Metazoa; Chordata; Mammalia; Primates; Hominidae.
CAAGGCAAGUGGGAAAAGCCUGGUAAAGUUCCAGCUUCUCCAUGGAGGGGCGGGAGGGGGGUGAGGGGGACACAUAUUCCCUGAUAUCCGGGCAACCAGAGUCGGUCCAUAGGAGUGAGUCUGCCCUAGACACCAAGCUUCAAUGGCAAUGAUUCCAAAACCUGACUUUAAAACACCCUAGGGUGUCGCCAACGAACAAAGGCUGCCUCAAAACCAAAUUAAGUUCCCUUUAAUUAAAGAUCAUAACAUACGCCACAGAACACUCUGUCACGGUAGGGGGAAGGAAGAGACUGUCACAUAAAAUAAAUAGGGUUCCACAACUCACAAAAAUUAAGCAUCUCACAGAAAGAGCUCUGCACUUUGCUGAUUUGUGAACAGCCAUCCUCAUUGCCACCUUGGAAACCGCUUGUGAGAGGCAGAGUGGAGGCCACCAUUUAGUGCCAAUAAACAGAAGGCCUGGUUUCUUCAAAAGAAACACAAGAAAUUGUUUCCUGGUUUUGCCACAGAGAUUGGGUCACAGAGUGCCACCUAAAUGGUAUUACCAUAUUUGUGUUGUCGCCUCUUGGUUUGAAAUUUAUUCCUGGUAUGACUUGUGUCUCCCCUUGUUCCAUCUCUGACACCCAAGCCCAUGGGAUGACAACCCAGGCUGAGAUGUCCCAUGUGUCACAAAGGAGUCCUUCAGUAUUUCCAGGAAUAGUUGGAACCAGCACUCCAUCCCCUACCUGGACCUGGCACCCUCUCUACUCUUGUCAAUUCUACACUAAUCACAGGAAGAAGGUGGAAUUAGUCCAAGCUGGGUUUUCAGAAAUAACUUGUAGACAUGCAACAGAUGUUUAUAACCCUCAGAAGCGGAAGGAAACUUGGAAACCCUCUCUUUCGGUGACUUUUUUUCUAAUGAUUGUCUCUGCCAUGAAAUUCUAACUUCAAAUGAAAUCUUUGGCAGGAACCCAGGGCUGUUCUGUCAAGGUUCAGCUGCAGGACCAGAGCCCCUUCCACCUAACCCCCACUCCUAUCCUGAUGCUUCCUGAGGCACAUCUGCUGUGGUUUCUCACCAGAGAACAGUCUGCAAAAUCACUGCACCUUGUCCAACUCCAUUUUCCAACUGAGAAGACUUGGCCCAGAGAAGUGCACAGACUUGAGGGAAGUAACACAGCAAUCGGACAGACAGACAUCCCCAGAUAUACCUGCUACGGUCCUGGGAGAAAAUAGAGACCCAUCCCCAAAUACCAUCAUCCUCAUCAUUCUCUGUAGCCCAAUCAAAUGAUGCUCCAGGCCUGAGAUUUUAUCCAAUGAACACUCUGUACAUCUUUAAAAGAGAUAUGUACUUGUCUUAUUCCUCCUUUCCUUUCUUUAAAAAAAAACACAGGCCCCAGAUCCAGUCAUUCUAAAUAGGAAGGAAAAACAUAACCCACUGAGGCAAUGGAUGCUGUUUCUCUCCCUGCUCUGUGACUUUAGUUUGCCUUUAAAGCCCAUUUUCACCAUUUAUUGAUUUUAGUUUUCUACUUGUCUAUGAAUGACAACUUGAAUUAAGACAACGCAGGCUGAAAAGCCGCUAGGCAGUGCUAAAUGGACAAGCUACACUUCGUGGCAGGAUGUCUCAUGACCGUGCCACCUUCUGCCUAGCCCCAUUCUCUGGAGGAGCUGUGGGCAGACCGACCCCAGCCUGGCCGCCUGGCAUGGGGACUGGUUGCGUCAGAUCGGAGCUCUGAGAUAAGGGUGGGCCAGGGCAUGAUCAUCACCACUGCCAGCCUCGAAGCCUCUUUGCUGACCUGGAGGUGAUCUGUGUAUCAAAGGGGGCUGUGUAUUCAACAGCACUUCCAGAAGAGGCCAAAGAUCUGUCUCUACUUCAGCCUCCACUGGGCAGAAAACUAAGCCUAUUUGCUCUAGGCCCUUCAGACUUGCACUUGGAGAAAGAAAACUCACUAAGUCAGCCCUUAUGUAACUCCACUCUCCUCUCUUCCAAACCUCCUUGCUUUGGACAAAUAUUUGACAGAAAAUGCCCUUUUGCAACGCCUUAAAAGUUACAAAAAUGGUGCACCCUAUCCUUUAAUCUGUACUGUAAAUAAAAAAUAUUAACACAAACCCUUUAACCCAGAAAUCCUACUUUUACAAAUCCAUCUUAAGAACGUAAUCAGGGCUCCUUAGGACACCAGG